RNAcentral lists this ribosomal RNA (486 nucleotides) under uncultured bacterium. RNAcentral describes it as "partial 16S ribosomal RNA". It matches the Rfam family "Bacterial small subunit ribosomal RNA", at positions 28 to 507 of the family's 1533-position model. The record is from RNAcentral.
GAUGAACGCUAGCGGCAGGCUUAACACAUGCAAGUCGAGGGGCAGCGCGGGAUAGCAAUAUCCUGGCGGCGACCGGCGGAAGGGUGCGUAACGCGUGAGCGACAUGCCCGUUGCCCGGGGACAACCGGUGGAAACGCUGACUAAUCCCCGAUGGGAUAUUGUGCCGCAUGGCACGAUAUUGAAAGUUAUGGCGGCGACGGACUGGCGCGCGUCCGUUUUGUUUGUUGGCGGGGGAUCGCACCACCAAGGCUGGUAUCGGUAGGGGUUCUGAGAGGGAGGCCCCCCAAAGUGGUACUGAGACACGGCCCAGACGCCUACGGGAGGCAGCAGGGAGGAAUAUUGGACAAUGGGCGGAAGCCUGAACCAGCCAGGCCGCGUGCGGGAAGGAGGCCCUAUGGGCUGUGAACCGCUUUUGCCUGGGGGCAAUAAGGGCGUCGCGCACGUCCGAUGAGAGUACCAGGCGAAUAAGCAUCGGCUAACUCCGUG